Long non-coding RNA from Erpetoichthys calabaricus (reedfish), 330 nucleotides. RefSeq lists it as uncharacterized. The transcript has 2 exons. Lineage: Eukaryota; Metazoa; Chordata; Cladistia; Polypteriformes; Polypteridae. The record is from RefSeq and is a predicted model, not a curated record.
UGGACCAUCCCCUUCUUACAAACCAUGGUGGAAGAUAACCACGCUGGUUAUGCUGAAGCAUCUCUCUGUCACACCAUGAACUGAAAAGGACAACACAAUGAAGAGCACAGCUUGGCAACCAUAUUGAGACAGGCAUGCGGCCUGUUCUGAAGAAAGCUGACCACAAAUGAUGCCUUAACUAAGAGACAUUUUAAGUAACUAACAAGUCUGUGUGCCACUUGAAACUACACAUCAACAUUUAUCAGGUUGUAUGGUUGCCAAUAUUCAAAUGUACAAUGCAUAUUGUUAUUAUUUAUGAAUAUUAUCAACAAUACAUUGUUUAAAUUGUAA